Molecule: ribosomal RNA, 120 nt
Filed under: uncultured bacterium
Lineage: Bacteria
Description: partial 16S ribosomal RNA
Rfam family: Bacterial small subunit ribosomal RNA
Source: RNAcentral
GAUGAACGCUGGCGGCGUGCCUAAUACAUGCAAGUCGAGCGAAUGGAUUAAGAGCUUGCUCUUAUGAAGUUAGCGGCGGACGGGUGAGUAACACGUGGGUAACCUACCCAUAAGACUGGG